This 69-nucleotide transfer RNA is filed under the name Marmota monax (woodchuck). RNAcentral's name for it is "tRNA.Ala". Lineage: Eukaryota; Metazoa; Chordata; Mammalia; Rodentia; Sciuridae. The record is from RNAcentral.
GGGGCUAGGGCUCAGAGGCAGAGUGCUUGCAUGGCAUGCAUGAGGCACUGGGUUCAAUCCUCAGCACCA